This 427-nucleotide ribosomal RNA is filed under the name uncultured bacterium. RNAcentral describes it as "partial 16S ribosomal RNA". It matches the Rfam family "Bacterial small subunit ribosomal RNA", at positions 355 to 774 of the family's 1533-position model. The record is from RNAcentral.
UGGGGAAUAUUGCACAAUGGGCGCAAGCCUGAUGCAGCCAUGCCGCGUGUAUGAAGAAGGCCUUCGGGUUGUAAAGUACUUUCAGCGAGGAGGAAGGCGAUGCGGUUAAUAACCGUGUCGAUUGACGUUACUCGCAGAAGAAGCACCGGCUAACUCCGUGCCAGCAGCCGCGGUAAUACGGAGGGUGCAAGAGUUAAUCGGAAUUACUGGGCGUAAAGCGCACGCAGGCGGUCUGUCAAGUCGGAUGUGAAAUCCCCGGGCUCAACCUGGGAACUGCAUUCGAAACUGGCAGGCUUGAGUCUUGUAGAGGGGGGUAGAAUUCCAGGUGUAGCGGUGAAAUGCGUAGAGAUCUGGAGGAAUACCGGUGGCGAAGGCGGCCCCCUGGACAAAGACUGACGCUCAGGUGCGAAAGCGUGGGGAGCAAACA